RNAcentral lists this ribosomal RNA (253 nucleotides) under uncultured bacterium. Its description in RNAcentral is "partial 16S ribosomal RNA". It matches the Rfam family "Bacterial small subunit ribosomal RNA", at positions 524 to 776 of the family's 1533-position model. The record is from RNAcentral.
UGCGGGGGGGGCAAGCGUUGUUCGGAAUUACUGGGCGUAAAGGGCUCGUAGGCGGCCAACUAAGUCAGACGUGAAAUCCCUCGGCUUAACCGGGGAACUGCGUCUGAUACUGGAUGGCUUGAGUUUGGGAGAGGGAUGCGGAAUUCCAGGUGUAGCGGUGAAAUGCGUAGAUAUCUGGAGGAACACCGGUGGCGAAGGCGGCAUCCUGGACCAACACUGACGCUGAGGAGCGAAAGCCAGGGGAGCAAACGGG